RNAcentral lists this ribosomal RNA (472 nucleotides) under uncultured bacterium. Its description in RNAcentral is "bacterial SSU rRNA". It matches the Rfam family "Bacterial small subunit ribosomal RNA", at positions 28 to 507 of the family's 1533-position model. The record is from RNAcentral.
GAUAAACGCUGGCGGCGCACAUAAGACAUGCAAGUCGAACGGACUUAACUCAUUCUUUACGAUUGAGAGCGGUUAGUGGCGGACUGGUGAGUAACACGUAAGCAACCUGCCUAUCAGAGGGGAAUAACAGUGAGAAAUCAUUGCUAAUACCGCAUAUGCUCACGGUACCACAUGGUACAGUUAGGAAAGGAGCAAUCCGCUGAUAGAUGGGCUUGCGUCUGAUUAGCUAGUUGGUGGGGUAAAGGCCUACCAAGGCGACGAUCAGUAGCCGGACUGAGAGGUUGAACGGCCACAUUGGGACUGAGAUACGGCCCAGACUCCUACGGGAGGCAGCAGUCGGGAAUAUUGCGCAAUGGAGGAAACUCUGACGCAGUGACGCCGCGUAUAGGAAGAAGGUUUUCGGAUUGUAAACUAUUGUCGUUAGGGAAGAUACAAGACAGUACCUAAGGAGGAAGCCCCGGCUAACUAUGUG